CCUACGGGAUGCAGCAGUGAGGAAUAUUGGUCAAUGGACGAGAGUCUGAACCAGCCAAGUAGCGUGAAGGAUGACUGCCCUAUGGGUUGUAAACUUCUUUUAUAUGGGAAUAAAAUGCUCCACGUGUGGGAUUUUGUAUGUACCUUAUGAAUAAGGAUCGGCUAACUCCGUGCCAGCAGCCGCGGUAAUCCGGAGGAUCCGAGCGUUAUCCGGAUUUAUUGGGUUUAAAGGGAGCGUAGGUGGAUUGUUAAGUUAGUUGUGAAAGUUUGCGGCUCAACCGUAAAAUUGCAAUUGAUACUGGCGGCCUUGAGUACAGUUGAGGUAGGCGGAAUGCGUGGUGUAGCGGUGAAAUGCUUAGAUAUCACGAAGAACUCCGAUUGCGAAGGCAGCCUACUAACCUGCCACUGACAUUGAUGCUCGAAAGUGUGGGUAUCGAACAGGAUUAGAUACCCGUGUAGUC
Molecule: ribosomal RNA, 460 nt
Filed under: uncultured bacterium
Lineage: Bacteria
Description: partial 16S ribosomal RNA
Rfam family: Bacterial small subunit ribosomal RNA
Source: RNAcentral